Mirounga angustirostris (Northern elephant seal) is the source of this 4859-nucleotide RNA transcript. It is a transcript of the gene named ribosomal oxygenase 1, with no coding region annotated. The record is from RefSeq and is a predicted model, not a curated record. The transcript has 5 exons. Lineage: Eukaryota; Metazoa; Chordata; Mammalia; Carnivora; Phocidae.
GAAUGGCAGGCGUGGCCACCCGGGAGGCGGCUGGAGGCCGCGCCCCCUUCCCAGAGUGCCUCGCUGCGGCUCCCCGCGAGAUCCCUUUUCUACCCAGCCCCGCCGGCCUCGGAAGGGGCUCCCGCCAUGGACGGGCUGCGGACUAGCACGGGGCUGUUGAGGCGCGGGAGGUUGAGACGCCGGCGCCAGCCGCAGCCACACAGCGGGUCGGUCCUGGCCCUGCCCCUGAGGCCCAGGAAGAUCCGAAGGCAGCUUAGGAGAAGCGUGGCGUCCCGCAUGGCCGCACUGAGGGCCCAGACGCUGCCCAGCGAGGACUCGGAGGACUCGAGGGUGGAGUCGACGGUCGACGAUCCGGGGGACCCGCUGCCUGGUGGGGCGGCGGCCAUCCCCGAUGCGGCCCGGCGGGAGCCGUAUGGCCACCUGGGGCCUGCAGAGCUGCUGGAGGCCUCCCCCGCGGCCCGCUCCCUCCAGACACCCCGCUCCCUGGUGGAGGCGCAGACCCCGCCGGCCCGCCUGGUGGAGGCGCAGACUCCGCCGGCCCGCCUGGUGCCGGCUUCCGCGCCGCCCGCGCGCCUGGUGGAGGUGCCCGCCGCGCCGGCCCGCGUGGUAGAAACCUCGGCCCUGCUAUGCAAUGCCCAGCACUUGGCGGCCGCCCCUCUGUCCGUAGCUCCCGCCACGCUGUCGGGGCCGCAGGUGGACAGCACGGGCGGGGAGCUGGCCUGGGACUCCCCGCUGCAGCGCGUCCUGGCCGAGCUGAACCGCAUCCCCAGCAGCCGGCGGCGGGCAGCGCGCCUCUUCGAGUGGCUCAUCUCGCCCAUGCCGCCCGACCAUUUCUACCGGCGCCUGUGGGAGCGGGAGGCGGUGCUGGUGCGGCGGCAGGACCACGCCUACUACCAGGGGCUUUUCUCCACCGCAGACCUGGACUCCCUGCUGCGCCACGAGGAGGUGCAGUUCGGGCAGCACCUGGACGCCGCUCGCUACGUCAACGGGCGGCGUGAGACCCUGAACCCGCCCGGCCGCGCGCUGCCCGCCGCCGCCUGGUCCCUGUACCAGGCCGGCUGCUCCCUGCGCCUCCUCUGUCCGCAGGCCUUCUCGACCACCGUGUGGCAGUUUUUGGCUGUGCUCCAGGAGCAGUUUGGAAGCAUGGCAGGCUCCAACAUUUACCUCACGCCCCCCAAUUCGCAGGGCUUUGCCCCCCACUACGACGACAUCGAGGCUUUUGUGCUGCAGCUGGAAGGUAGGAAACUCUGGCGCGUGUACCGACCCCGGGUCCCGACGGAGGAGCUGGCCCUGACAUCCAGUCCCAACUUCAGCCAGGACGACCUCGGUGAGCCGGUGCUGCAGACCGUGCUGGAACCCGGAGAUUUGCUCUAUUUUCCUCGGGGCUUCAUUCACCAAGCCGAAUGCCAGGAUGGGGUGCACUCUCUGCACCUCACCUUGUCCACGUACCAGCGCAAUACCUGGGGCGACUUCCUGGAGGCCGUACUGCCUCUGGCAGUGCAGGCUGCAAUGGAAGAAAAUGUGGAAUUCCGAAGGGGUCUCCCCCGAGACUUCAUGGAUUACAUGGGGGCCCAGCACUCGGAUUCUAAGGAUCCACGAAGAACGGCUUUUAUGGAGAAGGUGCGAGUCCUGGUUGCCCGCUUGGGACACUUUGCUCCUGUCGAUGCUGUGGCUGACCAGCGAGCCAAAGACUUCAUCCACGAUUCUCUGCCCCCUGUGCUGACUGAUAGGGAGAGGGCACUAAGUGUUUAUGGGCUCCCAAUUCGCUGGGAGGCUGGCGAACCUGUGAACGUGGGGGCCCAGUUGACAACGGAAACAGAAGUGCACAUGCUGCAGGAUGGGAUAGCUCGGCUGUUGGAGGAAUCUUCCCCAAACCUGGCAAGUGACUGUUCUCAUGGUUGGUGGAAGAGAGCCUGGUGUACCAGAGAGAGCACGGGACUUGGAGCCAGAAGACCUGGGUUUGGGGUGGUGGCUGGUAGGCCUGAAUGAGCUGAGGCUGCUGCUACACCUGGGCACACAGAUUUUACUUCGUGAUCUCCCUGGUGUCAGAUUCAGAAAGCCUCUUCCUAAGAAGAGCAGUUGUGUGGAGAACGCAAAAAAUAUAAAAACAUUUCCAGAUUACCAAGUUCAUGAUCUGUGGCAUUGCUUAUCAGCCUCAUGCUCUAAUCUGUCACUACCAAAGGUUCUUUCAUUACCUAGUAUUUCCUGAAUGAGACGAUGAAUGAAAUAGUUAUAAGAAGGUGUUGUCUGUGGAGUAAGCAAACUUUCCAGCUCGACGAUUCACCUGCCGGAAGUGGCUCUGCUUCGGGGGCUGGCAGAUGUUCUUCUUUCCUUUGAUAUCCUCAGCAGUCUCAUUGUUGCCAGGCAUAGCUUCAGCUCUCUGCACUUGUGGCAAGUAAUUGGGUAAUCUUAGCAGGAGGAGAGGGAGGAAAGGGAAAGAUAGGAGAUGGACCUCCUGCCUUCCAUCAGACCCAUAGCUCACUCCUCUUUAAGCUCACCUUACAUACACAUGAGCAUCUGGAAAACACCUAUGUUUAACUAUUGGCCUUGUCCCAAAGUGCCAAAUGAAUAUUCAGGCCCGCCAGAAGGGCCUGUCUGCAGCCACCUUCCUCCUCCUCCAGUGGAGCCACUGGGCAGCAUGGUAGAGUGGCCAGGCUCCCAGCAGUACCUUUUUUAUCAUGGUGCCCUUAGAGGUUACAUGGACUUGGGGAAGGAAACCAAUUCCUACAUUACUUCACUUUAUCGUGUGUGUGGCUAUUUAAAGACUGUCAACCCCAGUGAACAGAUCAUAAGCUCCUUAAAGGGUCUCUCGUUUACGUUGUAUUCCCAGCACUUUGCAGAGUACCUGGCAAGGAGUAGGAAGGCAGUUUAUGUUUGUCCAAUAAAUGAACAAAUAGAUGGAUUCCCACUUUACUUUUAGUUCACUUUUGGGAAUCAGAUAUUGUAAUAGCUCUGGUCUUCCCUCGAGCUAUAAGUGAGAAGAAGGCAAUCUGAGAAAUAUGCAGUAAUCAACCCUCAGGUUGUUUAGUUCUCUGUCUAGUUGCCAGUCAGUUUUUGCAUCAGUGACACAGUGGCUCCUUAUUCAAAGUGAGACAGAACCAAACCUCAGAGCCUUGAGAUCUCUGCCUUCUCUCUCUCAAUAUGGAUACAUUUCUGAGAGCACCUAGACAGCAAAAUAGCUCAGUCUGCUAGGAAAGGCCAGGAGCCAAUCCCUUUAAAGGCAAUGGUUCUCAACUAGGAGUGAUUGGGGUCCCUUAAGGGGACAUGUGUCAAUGUCUGGAGACAUCUUUGGUUGUCCCAACUGGAAAAUGCUUCUGGCAUCCAGUGGGGUGCUACUAAACAUCCUACAAGGCACAAGACAGCCCCCCACAACAAAGAAUUGUCCAACCCAGGAUGUCAGUAGUACCUGGUUGAGCACCUUACUUUAAGGAGAUUGUAGAGAACAAGUUGACAGUGGAGAACACAAGAGGUUGGUGGGACAGCAUGUUCUGAAAUAAGGAAUGUGAACCAACCCCGGAGUCCUGGAAGGGGACCCACGGGUUCUCAAAGGUGUGCCUGAGGCCCCAGCCAACAUACCUAUAAUAAACAGGGAGCAGCAGCUCCGGCUUCUCUCUCUCCUGGGUGGGCAAGAUAACGCUUUCAUCCUCAAAUUCUGCUGUUUCUUCUUUCUCUAGCUGUUUCAGUAGCUCCAGAUCGCUAGUGGAAGUAAGCUCAUCCCGGAUGUGGCUCCAGUCGUAUUGCUGGCGAAGAAAUCUCUGCCACUUGUUGGGGGAUACCCCAGGCCUCAGAGGACGUUUGCUCUGGAUCCAUCGGGUGGUGCGCUUGUUCAGCUUUUCCAGCACGAUGGCUUCCCAGGCUCUGGCCUCCUUCUCAGGGGGUGGCAGCCAGGCUUCCCUCUCCUCCAGGUUCAUGUCUGGAGAAAGUGACAGACCUGGCAUGUCUGGAUCCCUGCAGGAAUGAGGGAUGAGAGGGCAAGAUUCUUCCUGGCCCACACUUGCCGGCUUGGAUUCCUUUGGCCGCUUCUUAAGAUUGGCAGACCUUUCUGUCUUCACAGCCUGGGAGGUGACCCUUGCUGAGGGACCUGAAGAAUGCAAGGACUUGAGGCCAGUGGGUUUCUCGCAUCGGGCCCUGCUGAUCUGGGGAGGCUGGAUGAUGUGGCCUGCCUUGUAGAGAUGGUCAAAGUUAUACUGGCUGUAAGGGGUGCUGGGAAGCCCUCGCUGCCAUACCACCUCCUGAGAGAAGGUGAGGUUUGUAGCGGCCAUUUUCAAAUACUGGUUCUUCAGGUGUGCACAGCGAUGUGGGCUAAAGUGGAAGACUGGAGGUACACUGGACACCGAGGCACACUCCUCGUGUUCUGGUUUUGAGUGGGAAAAAUUCAUGCCCCAUCCCAGCCGUGGGGGGAGUGACUGAUGGAAAUGGUGGGAAAGAAGUGUCUUUCCCUGUUGGGUUCUGGUCAUUGUUUCCCAGCAAAAGCUUCCUUCCACACUGCCUGGUCCAGAUGCAGGGCUGGAGGUAUGACCAGAUACCUGUUGAGGGGAUGGGAGGAACUGCUGAGAGCUCUAGGUCAGUAGAAAUCGGUAGCCCAUAGCAGUCCAGAAAGGAAAUAAAUGGGAAGACGGGGGAGCGGGGGGAAGCCACGUGAGUUAAAAGGACAAAAGAGGGGCGCCUGGGUGGCUCAGUCAGUUAAGCGUCUGCCUUCAGCUCAGGUCACGGUCCCAGGGUCCUGGGAUCAAGCCCCGUAUCGGGCUCCCUGCUCGGCAGGAGGCCUGCUUCUCCCUCUCCCACUCCCCGGCUUGUGUUCCCUCUCUCGCUGUGCCUCUCUCUCUAAUAAAUAAAUAAAAUCUUCAAAAAAAAAAAAA